UGUAGUAAUACAAGGCAGACGGCUCAGUAACGCGUAGUCAACCUACCCUAUGGACGGGGAUAACCUCGGGAAACUGAGAAUAAAACCCGAUAGAACAUUAUGCCUGGAAUGGUUUAUGUUUCAAAUAAUUUAUUGCCGUAGGAUGGGACUGCGGCCCAUCAGUUUGUUGGUGAGGUAAUGGCCCACCAAGACUAUUACAGGUACGGGCUCUGAGAGGAGUAGCCCGGAGAUGGGUACUGAGACACGGACCCAGGCCCUAUGGGGCGCAGCAGGCGAGAAAACUUUGCAAUGUGCGAAAGCACGACAAGGUUAAUCCGAGUGGUUUCUGCUAAAGGAACCUUUUGUCAGUCCUAGAAACACUGGUGAAUAAGGGGUGGGCAAGUUCUGGUGUCAGCCGCCGCGGUAAAACCAGCACCUCAAGUGGUCAGGAUGAUUAUUGGGCCUAAAGCAUCCGUAGCCUGCUUUGUAAGUUUUCGGUUAAAUCCAUACGCUCAACGUAUGGGCUGCCGGGAAUACUGCAAAGCUAGGGAGUGGGAGAGGUAGACGGUACUCGGUAGGAAGGGGUAAAAUCCUUUGAUCUAUUGAUGACCACCUGUGGCGAAAGGCGGUCUACCAGAACACGUCCGACGGUGAGGGAUGAAAGCUGGGGGAGCAAACCGGAUUAGAUACCCGGGUAGUCCCAGCUGUAAACUAUGCAACUCAGUGAUGCAUUGGCUUGAUGCCAAUGCAGUGCUGCAGGGAAGCCGUUAAGUCUGCCGCCUGGGAAGUACGUACGCAAGUAUGAAACUUAAAGGAAUUGGCGGGGGAGCACCACAAGGGGGGAAGCCUGCGGGUCAAUUGGA
Molecule: ribosomal RNA, 842 nt
Filed under: uncultured archaeon
Lineage: Archaea
Description: bacterial SSU rRNA
Rfam family: Archaeal small subunit ribosomal RNA
Source: RNAcentral